CGCCCUUAGAGUUUGAUCAUGGCUCAGGACGAACGCUGGCGGCGUGCUUAACACAUGCAAGUCGAACGGAGGUUAUUUUGAAACUUAGUGAUAGGUAACCUUAGUGGCGGACGGGUGAGUAACGCGUGGAUAACCUGCCUACAUGCCUGGGACAACACCGGGAAACUGGUGCUAAUACCGGAUACGCUCUUGUAUGCACAUGCAUAUAAGAGGAAAGGAGCAAUCCGCAUAUAGAUGGGUCCGCGUCCCAUUAGCUAGUUGGAGGUGUAAGAGACCCCCAAGGCGACGAUGGGUAGCCGGCCUGAGAGGGUGGACGGCCACACUGGAACUGAGACACGGUCCAGACUCCUACGGGAGGCAGCAGUGGGGAAUCUUCCGCAAUGGGCGAAAGCCUGACGGAGCAACGC
RNAcentral lists this ribosomal RNA (407 nucleotides) under uncultured bacterium. RNAcentral's name for it is "bacterial SSU rRNA". It matches the Rfam family "Bacterial small subunit ribosomal RNA", at positions 1 to 397 of the family's 1533-position model. The record is from RNAcentral.